GACGAACGCUGGCGGCGUGCUUAACACAUGCAAGCCGUACGGUAAGGCCCUUUCGGGGGUACACGAGUGGCGAACGGGUGAGUAACACGUGAGUAACCUGCCCACAACUUUGGGAUAACGCUAGGAAACUGGUGCUAAUACUGGAUAUGUGCUCCUGCUGCAUGGUGGGGGUUGGAAAGCUCCGGCGGUUGUGGAUGGACUCGCGGCCUAUCCGCUUGUUGGUGGGGUAGUGGCCUACCAAGGCGGCGACGGGUAGCCGGCCUGAGAGGGUGACCGGCCACAUUGGGACUGAGAUACGGCCCAGACUCCUACGGGAGGCAGCAGUGGGGAAUAUUGCACAAUGGGCGCAAGCCUGAUGCAGCAACGCCGCGUGCGGGAUGACGGCCUUCGGGUUGUAAACCGCUUUCAGCAGGGACGAAGCUUUUUGUGACGGUACCUGCAGAAGAAGCACCGGCUAACUACGUG
Molecule: ribosomal RNA, 465 nt
Filed under: uncultured bacterium
Lineage: Bacteria
Description: partial 16S ribosomal RNA
Rfam family: Bacterial small subunit ribosomal RNA
Source: RNAcentral